This 465-nucleotide ribosomal RNA is filed under the name uncultured bacterium. RNAcentral describes it as "bacterial SSU rRNA". It matches the Rfam family "Bacterial small subunit ribosomal RNA", at positions 338 to 795 of the family's 1533-position model. The record is from RNAcentral.
CCUACGGGUCGCAGCAGUAGGGAAUAUUGCACAAUGGGCGCAAGCCUGCUGCAGCGAUGCCGCGUGUAUGAAGAAGGCCUUCGGGUUGUAAAGUACUUUCAGCGGUGAGGAAGGCGAUAAGGUUAAUAACCUUGUCGUUUGACGUUACCCGCAGAAGAAGCACCGGCUAACUCCGUGCCAGCAGCCGCGGUAAUACGGAGGGUGCAAGCGUUAAUCGGAAUUACUGGGCGUAAAGCGCACGCAGGCGGUCUGUCAAGUCGGAUGUGAAAUCCCCGGGCUCAACCUGGGAACUGCAUUCGAAACUGGCAGGCUAGAGUCUUGUAGAGGGGGGUAGAAUUCCAGGUGUAGCGGUGAAAUGCGUAGAGAUCUGGAGGAAUACCGGUGGCGAAGGCGGCCCCCUGGACAAAGACUGACGCUCAGGUGCGAAAGCGUGGGGAGCAAACAGGAUUAGAUACCCGUGUAGUC